RNAcentral lists this ribosomal RNA (686 nucleotides) under uncultured Vibrio sp. Its description in RNAcentral is "bacterial SSU rRNA". It matches the Rfam family "Bacterial small subunit ribosomal RNA", at positions 56 to 722 of the family's 1533-position model. Lineage: Bacteria; Pseudomonadati; Pseudomonadota; Gammaproteobacteria; Vibrionales; Vibrionaceae. The record is from RNAcentral.
UGCAGUCGAGCGGAAACGACACUAACAAUCCUUCGGGUGCGUUAAUGGGCGUCGAGCGGCGGACGGGUGAGUAAUGCCUAGGAAAUUGCCUUGAUGUGGGGGAUAACCAUUGGAAACGAUGGCUAAUACCGCAUAAUGCCUACGGGCCAAAGAGGGGGACCUUCGGGCCUCUCGCGUCAAGAUAUGCCUAGGUGGGAUUAGCUAGUUGGUGAGGUAAUGGCUCACCAAGGCGACGAUCCCUAGCUGGUCUGAGAGGAUGAUCAGCCACACUGGAACUGAGACACGGUCCAGACUCCUACGGGAGGCAGCAGUGGGGAAUAUUGCACAAUGGGCGAAAGCCUGAUGCAGCCAUGCCGCGUGUAUGAAGAAGGCCUUCGGGUUGUAAAGUACUUUCAGUUGUGAGGAAGGGGGUAGUGUUAAUAGCGCUAUCUCUUGACGUUAGCAACAGAAGAAGCACCGGCUAACUCCGUGCCAGCAGCCGCGGUAAUACGGAGGGUGCGAGCGUUAAUCGGAAUUACUGGGCGUAAAGCGCAUGCAGGUGGUUCAUUAAGUCAGAUGUGAAAGCCCGGGGCUCAACCUCGGAACUGCAUUUGAAACUGGUGAACUAGAGUACUGUAGAGGGGGGUAGAAUUUCAGGUGUAGCGGUGAAAUGCGUAGAGAUCUGAAGGAAUACCAGUGGCGAAGGC